AGUAAUGCAGCUCCACCAUGGCCAACCCUUUCUCUGCUUUCCCACCAGGCCAAGCCAAGGACCAGUUAGAGUCUAACUGUAUCUUUAACUUUUAAAAUUUGGCCUAUCCUGCUUGUGAUCAUUCCACUUGAGACCAGUAUAACACAGUUGCUUGGACCACCUAUUUCACAUGUGCAGUUCAUCAAAGGUAUGCAGAGGAAAGCAUACUUGUCACCUGGCCAUGCACCUUGGCCAGUUUGGACAAUGAUCCUGAGUCUCCAUAAAUAUGCAAGAGAGAUUAAUAGGAGAGAGUCCCAGAGAAGUCAGGAUCUGAGCCCCGGGCACUGAGAACACAGGUUGUGCUGACCCCGGGCUAGCAGGCCACAGUAAUCACUGUGUGGAUCAGAGACAAAUGGAUAUGCGAAGCAGAAAUACAGUUAUGUGCAUGUCAUUAUUUCUGUGAUUGAAUUGGUUUAACUUGGGCAUUUUAUCACAUCUGUCAUUUGUUUCAACAGCCUCUCAAUAAACAAUAAAAAGACCCUGGAUUUCAAUUAACAAGAGAAAUUCUUGGAUGGCAAAAAGAAUUAAAAGAGAAAUGAGGGAAACAGUGCAGGAUAAGUCUAGAAUAUUUGGAAGGAAGGCAGGAAGGCAAGCAAGCAACCAGUGACUCCCCAAAUUCAGCUUUGUGUUUAUUAUAUUUUCCCCAGCUUUUCUGGUCCUCCAAUUUCCUAGCUAGUACUGUGAUAGAUAGUUUUCAGAUUCUGACCAGGCUGACUUUGUGAUUUCCCUCCAUUUUUUCCUCUUCCCACUCCCCUUUUAUGGAUUAACAACCCUCAGAGAGCCUUGACAGAGA
RNAcentral lists this long non-coding RNA (832 nucleotides) under Suricata suricatta (meerkat). RNAcentral's name for it is "lncRNA (ENSSSUG00005000377.1)". The record is from RNAcentral. Lineage: Eukaryota; Metazoa; Chordata; Mammalia; Carnivora; Herpestidae.